AUUGAACGCUGGCGGCAGGCCUAACACAUGCAAGUCGAGCGGAAACGAGAAUAGCUUGCUAUACGGCGUCGAGCGGCGGACGGGUGAGUAAUGCCUAGGAAAUUGCCCUGAUGUGGGGGAUAACCAUUGGAAACGAUGGCUAAUACCGCAUAAUGCCUUCGGGCCAAAGAGGGGGACCUUCGGGCCUCUCGCGUCAGGAUAUGCCUAGGUGGGAUUAGCUAGUUGGUGAGGUAAAGGCUCACCAAGGCGACGAUCCCUAGCUGGUCUGAGAGGAUGAUCAGCCACACUGGAACUGAGACACGGUCCAGACUCCUACGGGAGGCAGCAGUGGGGAAUAUUGCACAAUGGGCGCAAGCCUGAUGCAGCCAUGCCGCGUGUGUGAAGAAGGCCUUCGGGUUGUAAAGCACUUUCAGUCGUGAGGAAGGCGGUACGGUUAAUAGCUGUAUUGUUUGACGUUAGCGACAGAAGAAGCACCGGCUAACUCCGUGCCAGCAGCCGCGGUAAUACGGAGGGUGCGAGCGUUAAUCGGAAUUACUGGGCGUAAAGCGCAUGCAGGUGGUUUGUUAAGUCAGGUGUGAAAGCCCGGGGCUCAACCUCGGAACCGCAUUUGAAACUGGCAGGCUAGAGUACUGUAGAGGGGGGUAGAAUUUCA
Molecule: ribosomal RNA, 652 nt
Filed under: uncultured Vibrionaceae bacterium
Lineage: Bacteria; Pseudomonadati; Pseudomonadota; Gammaproteobacteria; Vibrionales; Vibrionaceae
Description: bacterial SSU rRNA
Rfam family: Bacterial small subunit ribosomal RNA
Source: RNAcentral